GAUGAACGCUGGCGGCGUGCCUAAUACAUGCAAGUCGAGCGAACGGACGAGAAGCUUGCUUCUCUGAUGUUAGCGGCGGACGGGUGAGUAACACGUGGAUAACCUACCUAUAAGACUGGGAUAACUUCGGGAAACCGGAGCUAAUACCGGAUGAUAUUUUGAACCGCAUGGUUCAAAAGUGAAAGACGGUCUUGCUGUCACUUAUAGAUGGAUCCGCGCUGCAUUAGCUAGUUGGUAAGGUAACGGCUUACCAAGGCAACGAUGCAUAGCCGACCUGAGAGGGUGAUCGGCCACACUGGAACUGAGACACGGUCCAGACUCCUACGGGAGGCAGCAGUAGGGAAUCUUCCGCAAUGGGCGAAAGCCUGACGGAGCAACCCCGCGUGAGUGAUGAAGGUCUUCGGAUCGUAAAACUCUGUUAUUAGGGAAGAACAUAUGUGUAAGUAACUGUGCACAUCUUGACGGUACCUAAUCAGAAAGCCACGGCUAACUACGU
RNAcentral lists this ribosomal RNA (496 nucleotides) under uncultured bacterium. Its description in RNAcentral is "partial 16S ribosomal RNA". It matches the Rfam family "Bacterial small subunit ribosomal RNA", at positions 28 to 506 of the family's 1533-position model. The record is from RNAcentral.